This 355-nucleotide ribosomal RNA is filed under the name uncultured Glomus. Its description in RNAcentral is "SSU rRNA". It matches the Rfam family "Eukaryotic small subunit ribosomal RNA", at positions 569 to 929 of the family's 1831-position model. The record is from RNAcentral. Lineage: Eukaryota; Fungi; Glomeromycota; Glomeromycetes; Glomerales; Glomeraceae.
AGCAGCCGCGGUAAUUCCAGCUCCAAUAGCGUAUAUUAAAGUUGUUGCAGUUAAAAAGCUCGUAGUUGAAUUUCGGGACCAAUAUGUCGGUCGUGCUUCGGUACGUACUUGCAUUAUUGGUCUCUCCCUUCUGAAGAACCAUGAUGUCAUUAAUUUGGUGUCUUGGGGAAUCAGGACUGUUACUUUGAAAAAAUUAGAGUGUUUAAAGCAGGCUCGCGCUUGAAUACAUUAGCAUGGAAUAAUGAAAUAGGACGUUUGAUUCUAUUUUGUUGGUUUCUAGGAUCGACGUAAUGAUUAAUAGGGAUAGUUGGGGGCAUUAGUAUUCAAUUGUCAGAGGUGAAAUUCUUGGAUUUAG